This 318-nucleotide unclassified non-coding RNA is filed under the name uncultured Tomentella. RNAcentral describes it as "sequence contains ITS2". The record is from RNAcentral. Lineage: Eukaryota; Fungi; Basidiomycota; Agaricomycetes; Thelephorales; Thelephoraceae.
AACGCACCUUGCGCCCUUUGGCCAUUCCGAAGGGCAUGCCUGUUUGAGUAUCAUGAACACCUCAACUCUUCAUGGUUUUCCAUGAUGAGCUUGGACUUUGGGGGUCUUGCUGGCCUGCGGUCAGCUCCUCUCAAAUGAAUCAGCUUGCCAGUGUUUGGUGGGUUUCACAGGUGUGAUAACUAUCUACACUUGUGGUUUUCCACCAGGUAACCUUCAGCAGUGGAGGUUCGCUGGAGCUCACAGAUGUGUCUCUCCUCAGUGAGGACAGCCCUUUGAAUGUUUGAUCUCAAAUCAGGUAGGACUACCCGCUGAACUUAA